RNAcentral lists this ribosomal RNA (253 nucleotides) under uncultured bacterium. RNAcentral's name for it is "partial 16S ribosomal RNA". It matches the Rfam family "Bacterial small subunit ribosomal RNA", at positions 524 to 776 of the family's 1533-position model. The record is from RNAcentral.
UACGGAGGGGGCUAGCGUUGUUCGGAAUUACUGGGCGUAAAGCGCGCGUAGGCGGACCUGCAAGUCGGGGGUGAAAGCCCGAGGCUCAACCUCGGAACUGCCUUCGAUACUGCGGGUCUCGAGUCCGGGAGAUGUGAGUGGAAUUCCUAGUGUAGAGGUGAAAUUCGUAGAUAUGGGGAGGAACACCGGUGGCGAAGGCGGCCAUCUGGACGGUAACUGACGCUGAGACGCGAAAGCGUGGGGAGCAAACAGG